AAGGAAGCCCACUAGUGCUUCAUCAGUCGAAAGUCAAUGGCUUUCCAAUUUUUCAUCGUCUUCCACUUGACAGUAGAAAUUCUUAGCAGAGUGAGACUACAAGUGUGGCAGAGUUCAGCCUUGCAUGGGAAAUAUCAACUACAAGUUUAUAACUGCACGCUUCCAAUAAACCUUGUGUUAGUAGCAUCUUUCUUUCUAUCCUCUUAAGCUGUUUCUCAUCGCUUCCUUUUCAAGCGGGUGAUUCUUCUUUUUUGCUUGCGUAUAUGGGUAGUGAGUGGCAAAUUACGCUUAUUGAAAUUUGGACAAUCACCCUCCAUUAGACAAUUUGUUGCUUAAAUGCAUGUUAUCUUAGAUUAGUUCAUGCCUUAAAAUCACUUGUCCAAGUUUUCAAUGUGAAGUUUGUAUCCAUGUACAAAUGCUUCUUAUAGGGCGAACCAUUUGAUCCCAAAAUCUGCCAUCUUUGUCCCUUUCUUGAAAUUGAAAGCUUAUAGUUUUAUGUCUAGACGUUUAGAUUUUAAACUGAAAUUGCUGCACAAGCAGUAUAGAAUUUCAGUGUUUCGUCUGUUCUAUUUUUGAUUCAGAUAGGAUUAUUUUCACUUUAUAACUUAAAUCAACUACCACUGAAGGGUUCUUCGUCACCUGUUGAUAGCAGAUUUUCCAAACAUUAUACUCAUCCUCAUCUGCUAUCCUCUCCACUACCUAAACCAUUUCUUCAGAUUAUUGACGGACUGCAGGACUUUGGAAAGGUGAUAUCGGAUAGAAAGCCCUGUGCUCAAACCGCUAGAGCUGCCAAUUCCACUUAUAAGAAUUAUUAUUGCAUUAGGUGAUGGUACUAGAGAUAAACUUAUUAUUCGUGCUAGCUGUGGUUGGGACUUGGGACGCUGUUGGUUAUACAGCAAGCUUUGACACUGUUGAAGUUUGACAACCAAUACGGUUGCCAUUUUCUUCUUUGAGGCCUACUAACUGUAUGGGAUGCUUUCUUCCAUUUGAUCAUAGCAAUAUUGUAACGAUGCAGGCAU
Manihot esculenta (cassava) is the source of this 1019-nucleotide long non-coding RNA. RefSeq lists it as uncharacterized. The transcript is spliced from 3 exons. NCBI's taxonomy places the organism in Eukaryota, Viridiplantae, Streptophyta, Magnoliopsida, Malpighiales, Euphorbiaceae. The record is from RefSeq and is a predicted model, not a curated record.